CCUACGGGAGACAGCAGUGGGGAAUAUUGGGCAAUGGGCGCAAGCCUGACCCAGCAACGCCGCGUGAAGGAAGAAGGCCCUCGGGUUGUAAACUUCUUUUAUCAGGGACGAAACAAAUGACGGUACCUGAUGAAUAAGCCACGGCUAACUACGUGCCAGCAGCCGCGGCAAUACGGAGGUGGCAAGCGUUAUCCGGAUUUACUGGGUGUAAAGGGCGUGUAGGCGGGAGAGCAAGUCAGACGUGAAAUUCCAGGGCUCAACCCUGGAACUGCGUUUGAAACUGUUCUUCUUGAGUGAUGGAGAGGCAGGCGGAAUUCCGUGUGUAGCGGUGAAAUGCGUAGAUAUACUGAAGAACACCAAUGGCGAAGGCAGCCUGCUGGACAUUAACUGACGCUGAGGCGCGAAAGCGUGGGGAGCAAACAGGAUUAGAUACCCUUGUAGUC
RNAcentral lists this ribosomal RNA (443 nucleotides) under uncultured bacterium. RNAcentral describes it as "partial 16S ribosomal RNA". It matches the Rfam family "Bacterial small subunit ribosomal RNA", at positions 338 to 795 of the family's 1533-position model. The record is from RNAcentral.